AUGCUCAAGCACUUGCUGCUGGGGCUUGCGGCUCUGGAGAAGACGAUCGAUCGACAGAGAUCAAGAAUGAAAUGGAUCAAGGAGGGAGAUGUGAACACCAAGGUUUUUCAGGCGGUGGCGAACGGACGUCGCUCCAAAAACUUCAUUCUGCAUAUCAAGAGGGGGGUUGAGAUCAUCACUGACCAGGAGCGCAUGGUGGAUACCUUCGCGGAGGUCUAUGAGCAGUUACUUGGCACUGCGUCUGCUAGAGGGCACACCCUAGACUUAAACUUCCUGGGUAUCGAACCAAGGGAGCUCGGCAUGCUUGAGGAGAUGAUCACCGAGGAGGAGGUGUGGCAAGUUAUAAAAGAUAUGCCCGGCGACCGUGCGCCAGGUCCGGACGGAUUCAUAGGGGCGUUCUUCCAGCAGGCCUGGCAGAUCAUCAAGUCUGAUGUCAUGGCAGUUUUGAUGAAGCUUUUUGUGGGAGACGGAAGGGGUUUUGCAAAGCUCAAUAAGGCACACAUCAUUCUUAUUCCAAAGAAAUCGGAUGCUGAAGAGAUAGGUGAUUACAGGCCGAUCAGCCUCAUUCAUAGCAUUCCCAAGCUCUUUGCGAAGGUUCUUGCAAACCGCCCGCGGAACCAAAUGCAAGACAUCGUGGAAGUGAACCAGUCUGCUUUCAUAAAAGGCAGACAUCUGCAUGACAAUUUCUUGUUUGUUCGUCAAGUGGCGAGGAAGAUUCACAUGAGGAAAGUGCCUGGCGUGUUCCUGAAGUUAGACAUCUCAAGGGCUUUUGACUCGCUAUCAUGGUCGUUCCUCUUUGAAGUGAUGAGAGCCAAGGGUUUUGGUCAAAGUUGGAUGAGCUGGAUGAUGACGCUGUUACACUCGGCUAACACCAAGGUUGUGGUCAAUGGAGUGCCAGGCAAGAGUUUUCUGCACGCUUGUGGCCUGAGGCAAGGCGACCCGAUAUCUCCGAUGCUCUUUGUCAUCACCAUGGACGUUUUGACGGCACUGUUUAUCAAGGCUACGGAAAUGGGUGUGCUUAGCUCUUACGCGGGCAUCUCGGCAACACAAAGGCUUUCAAUCUACGCUGAUGAUGUGGCACUCUUCAUUAAGCCAUCUUGUCAGGAUCUUUUGGCUGUCAGGGAGUGCUGGCUGCUUUUGGGGAAGCAUCAGGUUUGA
RNAcentral lists this ribosomal RNA (1158 nucleotides) under Triticum aestivum (bread wheat). RNAcentral describes it as "partial small subunit ribosomal RNA". Lineage: Eukaryota; Viridiplantae; Streptophyta; Magnoliopsida; Poales; Poaceae. The record is from RNAcentral.